Molecule: unclassified non-coding RNA, 387 nt
Filed under: soil metagenome
Description: partial contains 5.8S ribosomal RNA, internal transcribed spacer 2, and large subunit ribosomal RNA
Rfam family: 5.8S ribosomal RNA (bases 1-120)
Source: RNAcentral
GAUGAAGAACGUAGCGAAAUGCGAUAAGUAAUGUGAAUUGCAGAAUUCAGUGAAUCAUCGAAUCUUUGAACGCACCUUGCGCUCCUUGGUAUUCCGAGGAGCAUGCCUGUUUGAGUGUCAUGAAAUUCUCAACCUUUUCAGCUUUCUUUGUUGAUCAGGCUUGGAUGUGGGAGUAUGCGGGCUUCUCAGAAGUCGGCUCUCCUGAAAUGCAUUAGCGGGACCUUUGUUGCCUGGCUUUGGUGUGAUAAUUAUCUACGCCAUUGUGGUCAAGCAGCUUAAAAUGGGGUUUCAGCUUCUAACCGUCUCCCCUGAGACAACUUUUUGACAAUUUGACCUCAAAUCAGGUAGGACUACCCGCUGAACUUAAGCAUAUCAAUAAGCGGAGGA